RNAcentral lists this ribosomal RNA (837 nucleotides) under Nitzschia capitellata. RNAcentral describes it as "partial large subunit ribosomal RNA". It matches the Rfam family "Eukaryotic large subunit ribosomal RNA", at positions 32 to 950 of the family's 3401-position model. The record is from RNAcentral. Lineage: Eukaryota; Bacillariophyta; Bacillariophyceae; Bacillariales; Bacillariaceae.
AAUUAAGCAUAUAAUUAAGCGGAGGAAAAGAAACUAACCAGGAUUCCCUCAGUAAGGGCGACUGAAGCGGGAAGUGCUCAGGAUGUGAAUCUGCGCCUUGUUGCGCCGAAUUGUGGUCUGUCGACUGUGGCAUUACUGGCCGGGCCAAGUCCUUUGGAACAAGGCAGCUGAGAGGGUGAGACUCCCGUCCGCCUGGCCGGGUGAGCUACAAGUCAACGAGUCGAGUUGUUUGGGAUUGCAGCUCUAAGUGGGUGGUAAAUUCCAUCUAAAGCUAAAUAUUGGUGGGAGACCGAUAGCGUACAAGUACCGUGAGGGAAAGAUGCAAAGAACUUUGAAAAGAGAGUUAAAGAGUACCUGAAAUUGCUGAAAGGGAAGCGAAGGAAACCAGUGUCGGCUUGGUCAUAUUUCCCUGUCCGCUUGCGGUUUGGGCGCUGUGUCCGGCCUAUGUCGUCCUUGGUUGGAUCUACUGGAAGAGCGCAGUGAGAGUUGAUCUCUGUUGCUAGCAGUAGGCUUGACUGAGGAGGACGAAAUGGUUUUCUUUACCCCGUCUUGAAACACGGACCAAGGAGUCUAACAUAUGUGCGAGUACAGGGGUGGCAAACCCCCGUGCGUAAUGAAAGUGACAGUGGUUGGACUUUUGCACAAUCCGCCGGCCUCAAUCCCUCGGGAGAACGGUCUGAGUGUGAGCAUACAUGUUGGGACCCGAAAGAUGGUGAACUAUGCCUGAAUAGGGUGAAGCCAGGGGAAACUCUGGUGGAGGCUCGUAGCGAUUCUGACGUGCAAAUCGAUCGUCAAAUUUGGGUAUAGGGGCGAAAGACUAAUCGAACCAUCUAGUAG